Molecule: ribosomal RNA, 1203 nt
Filed under: Candidatus Phytoplasma fraxini
Lineage: Bacteria; Bacillati; Mycoplasmatota; Mollicutes; Acholeplasmatales; Acholeplasmataceae
Description: bacterial SSU rRNA
Rfam family: Bacterial small subunit ribosomal RNA
Source: RNAcentral
UUUAAGACGAGGAUAACAACCGGAAACAGUUGCUAAGACUGGAUAGGAAAUAAAAAGGCAUCUUUUUAUUUUUAAAAGACCUUUUUCGGAAGGUAUGCUUAAAGAUGAGCUUGCGCCACAUUAGUUUGUUGGUGGGGUAAUGGCCUACCAAGACGAUGAUGUGUAGCUGGACUGAGAGGUCGAACAGCCACAUUGGGACUGAGACACGGCCCAAACUCCUACGGGAGGCAGCAGUAGGGAAUUUUCGGCAAUGGAGGAAACUCUGACCGAGCAACGCCGCGUGAACGAUGAAGUAUUUCGGUAUGUAAAGUUCUUUUAUUGAAGAAGAAAAAAUAGUGGAAAAACUAUCUUGACGUUAUUCAAUGAAUAAGCCCCGGCUAACUAUGUGCCAGCAGCCGCGGUAAGACAUAGGGGGCGAGCGUUAUCCGGAAUUAUUGGGCGUAAAGGGUGCGUAGGCGGUUAGGAAAGUCUAUAAUUUAAUUUCAGUGCUUAACGCUGUCUUGUUAUAGAAACUACCUUGACUAGAGUUAGAUAGAGGCAAGCGGAAUUCCAUGUGUAGCGGUAAAAUGUGUAAAUAUAUGGAGGAACACCAGAAGCGUAGGCGGCUUGCUGGGUCUUGACUGACGCUGAGGCACGAAAGCGUGGGUAGCAAACAGGAUUAGAUACCCUGGUAGUCCACGCCGUAAACGAUGAGUACUAAGUGUCGGGAUAAAACUCGGUACUGAAGUUAACACAUUAAGUACUCCGCCUGAGUAGUACGUACGCAAGUAUGAAACUUAAAGGAAUUGACGGGACUCCGCACAAGCGGUGGAUCAUGUUGUUUAAUUCGAAGAUACACGAAAAAUCUUACCAGGUCUUGACAUGCUCUGCAAAGCUAUAGAAAUAUAGUGGAGGUUAUCAGGGACACAGGUGGUGCAUGGUUGUCGUCAGUUCGUGUCGUGAGAUGUUAGGUUAAGUCCUAAAACGAGCGCAACCCUUGUCGUUAGUUACCAGCACGUAAUGGUGGGCACUUUAACGAGACUGCCAAUUAAACAUUGGAGGAAGGUGAGGAUUACGUCAAAUCAUCAUGCCCCUUAUGAUCUGGGCUACAAACGUGAUACAAUGGCUGUUACAAAGAGUAGCUGAAGCGCGAGUUUUUAGCCAAUCUCAAAAAAGCAGUCUCAGUUCGGAUUGAAGUCUGUAACUCGACUUCAUGAAGUUGGA